UUAACCAAACUAUUUAAGAGACAAAAUAGCAGACGAGACACCUUCCACAAUUAGGUCACGUGGGAUAAAACGAGAUGUUUAUCGCGACAGCCAAGGAAGGGACGCUAUAAAUGACCUUCAGUCAACCAAUUAGAAAUAGCAGCCAAAUUUCAAUUUAAUCAUCCGUUCGCUUUUCCAAGCUCGUGAUUUCGGGUUCAACCCCACUGCCCAGCACCUAUGUUUAUCAACAUGGCAUACUGACAACUCUUUUCGAAAAGUAAACAAAACUAUAAUGUGAAAGUUUCUGGAAGAGAAAUUUAUGAAUGGAGAUGUAUAUCUAUCCAGACAAUAUACAGAAAUUGAAAGUUCACCAGCAUCGAGUUUGAAACAUGUCGAAGGAAUGAUAUAUGCCACGUCGUUUCCGGAUUACAAAAAGCCGCCGCUACCCAAAGUGAAGAAGAAGACAUCUUCAAAGACGUGUAAAUAAAGGAAUAUUUCCAAAAUUACAUAAAGGUUGAAAAAACAGAACUCUUAAUCUGCGCCGAGGUAAUGGGGCUCCCCAAGGUAAUGGGGCUCCCCAAAAGUUCCAUGGUUCUUCUUGUCGACUUUGCCUUUCAGCCUUUCGGGGUCGAUAAAUUAAGUACCAGUUGCGUACUGGGGUCGAUCUAAUCGACUGGCCCUCUUCUCCCAAAAUUUCGGGCCUUGUGCCUAGAGUAGAAA
Molecule: long non-coding RNA, 699 nt
Organism: Octopus bimaculoides (California two-spot octopus)
Lineage: Eukaryota; Metazoa; Mollusca; Cephalopoda; Octopoda; Octopodidae
Source: RefSeq, a predicted model, not a curated record